RNAcentral lists this ribosomal RNA (253 nucleotides) under uncultured bacterium. Its description in RNAcentral is "partial 16S ribosomal RNA". It matches the Rfam family "Bacterial small subunit ribosomal RNA", at positions 524 to 776 of the family's 1533-position model. The record is from RNAcentral.
UACGUAGGGGGCAAGCGUUGUCCGGAUUUACUGGGCGUAAAGAGCGUGUAGGCGGCCAAGCAGGUCCGUUGUGAAAACUGGAGGCUUAACCUCCAGACGUCGACGGAAACCGCGUGGCUAGAGUCCGGAAGAGGAGAGUGGAAUUCCUGGUGUAGCGGUGAAAUGCGCAGAUAUCAGGAAGAACACCAAUGGCGAAGGCAGCUCUCUGGGACGGUACUGACGCUGAUGAGCGAAAGCUAGGGGAGCAAACGGG